UGGGGAAUAUUGGACAAUGGGCGAAAGCCUGAUCCAGCCAUGCCGCGUGUGUGAAGAAGGUCUUCGGAUUGUAAAGCACUUUAAGUUGGGAGGAAGGGCAUUAACCUAAUACGUUAGUGUUUUGACGUUACCGACAGAAUAAGCACCGGCUAACUCUGUGCCAGCAGCCGCGGUAAUACAGAGGGUGCAAGCGUUAAUCGGAAUUACUGGGCGUAAAGCGCGCGUAGGUGGUUUGUUGAGUUGGAUGUGAAAUCCCCGGGCUCAACCUGGGAACUGCAUUCAGAACUGACUGACUAGAGUAUGGUAGAGGGUGGUGGAAUUUCCUGUGUAGCGGUGAAAUGCGUAGAUAUAGGAAGGAACACCAGUGGCGAAGGCGACCACCUGGACUAAUACUGACACUGAGGUGCGAAAGCGUGGGGAGCAAACA
RNAcentral lists this ribosomal RNA (427 nucleotides) under uncultured bacterium. RNAcentral describes it as "partial 16S ribosomal RNA". It matches the Rfam family "Bacterial small subunit ribosomal RNA", at positions 355 to 774 of the family's 1533-position model. The record is from RNAcentral.